AUACAGAGGGUGCAAGCGUUAAUCGGAAUUACUGGGCGUAAAGCGCGCGUAGGCGGUUUGUUAAGUUGGAUGUGAAAGCCCCGGGCUUAACCUGGGAGGGUCAUUCAAAACUGGCAGACUAGAGUGUGGUAGAGGGUAGUGGAAUUCCUAGUGUAGCGGUGAAAUGCGUAGAGAUUAGGAGGAACACCAGUGGCGAAGGCGACUGCCUGGACCAACACUGACGCUGAGGUGCGAAAGCGUGGGUAGCGAACAGGAUUAGAUACCCCUGUAGUCC
RNAcentral lists this ribosomal RNA (274 nucleotides) under uncultured bacterium. Its description in RNAcentral is "partial 16S ribosomal RNA". It matches the Rfam family "Bacterial small subunit ribosomal RNA", at positions 523 to 796 of the family's 1533-position model. The record is from RNAcentral.